This 1192-nucleotide long non-coding RNA is filed under the name Anser cygnoides (Swan goose). RNAcentral describes it as "lncRNA (ENSACDG00005017133.1)". Lineage: Eukaryota; Metazoa; Chordata; Aves; Anseriformes; Anatidae. The record is from RNAcentral.
UAGAGGAUAAGGGACAGGGACAGGGGACAGGGGCCGUACAUGAUAGAGACCAGGACGGGGAGAUAGGGGACAGGCAUGGGGACAGAGGAUCAAGAACAGGGGACGGAGGAGAGAAUCCCGAGACAGGGGACAGGGCCUAGGAGAUAGGGGGCAGGGGUCGGGAAAAGGGUCCGGGGAUGGGGGAUAAGGCACGGGGACGGGGAACGGGGCAUGGGGGUGGCCGGUAGGGCCCAGGGCUGUGGGGUACAGCACCUGUAGGGUGGGGAACCCGGGGAAACGCGCAGUUCCUAUUCUAAACGCGUUUGCUCGCGGUUGUUUUGUCGGAUAAAGCAGACGGCUCCGUGCUCGCCGUACCCAGCCCCUGCGGGGGAUCCGGCCCCAGUUUGCUCCCCCGGCCCUGCUGGGAGCGCUGGUGACAAACCGGGAUGCCGGGGCGGCACCGCGAGGCGUGGAAAAUGAACGCGGGCCCUGCCGGAGCGCCCCCGCGCCGACCGCUCCCACCGAGCAACCCUGCCGCCGGCGAGAUCAAGCAUGCGAAAGUCUCGGAGUUUGGCGCAUGGGCUGGAGCCCGGCUCUGCUCGGGGCUGCGCAAGCUCAGAAGGAAAAUCCCACCCUGAGGAAAAUCGGAACAUCCUGGGCUUGUUUCUGGACCCGUCACCGUGUGCCUCUGUUCAUCCAUCGGCCUGGAAGGAGCCCAGAGGUCACCUCCUCACCCCGGGGGGAUCGAUCUUGGCAUCCAGGUGGGUCUCAGAGACCUCCAGAGGUGGAGAGGCCUCCUGGCUUGGUCCCCAUGUGGCAGCUCAGAAGGGCCAGCCGGGUCCCCGCACAGGACCCCGGCAUCACGCCCGUGCUGCAAGCACAGCCCACCAGCCCUGCAGUUGUCUGAGGGAUGAACAUUUUCACUCCGGCUCAUUCCGUAAUAAACCUCUCACUCGAGCUGACGUCCCCGGCUCAUUCAGGCAGGACCUCGGGGGGACGUGACCCACAGCCAGAACCGCUCCUUCCCCCCCUUAUGUAUUCAGUGACUCAAAGAAACGCUCCCGAGGCUGUGACAAAGGGGAAGGAAAACAAGGAAAUGCACGUGUGAGGCUGUGCUGCGGGCCGCACGCACCGGGGGUGCAUUUAGGAAGUAGUUAAGGAAGCUCCUCGCCGUGCCUGGGGAGAGGGGUAAGAGCCGGUGCCAGGCCCUGCG